GAGAAGAAACCAACAGGGAUUGCCUCAGUAACGGCGAGUGAAGCGGCAGAAGCUCAAAUUUGAAAUCUGACGUCCCCGACGUCCGAGUUGUAAUUUGGAGAGGCAUCUUCUGGAGGGGCCCAGCCUAUGUUCCUUGGAACAGGACGUCAUAGAGGGUGAGAAUCCCGUUCUUGGCUGGAUGUCCCCACCUGUAUGUAGUGUCUUCUACGAGUCGAGUUGUUUGGGAAUGCAGCUCAAAAUGGGUGGUAAAUUUCAUCUAAAGCUAAAUAUUGGCGAGAGACCGAUAGCGCACAAGUAGAGUGAUCGAAAGAUGAAAAGCACUUUGAAAAUAGAGUCAAACAGUACGUGAAAUUGUUGAAAGGGAAGCGCUUGAGACCAGACUCAGCCUCGGGCAAGCAACCCUCCUUCUGGUGGGUGUCCUCCUUCGGGUGGGUGCACUUGCCCUUGGCUGGGCCAGCAUCAGUUGGGAGGGCGGGAUAAAGGCCCAGGGAAUGUGGCUCCUCUCGGGGAGUGUUAUAGCCCUGGGUGCCAUGCCGCCGCUCCCGACUGAGGACCGCGCUUCGGCAAGGAUGCUGGCGUAAUGGUCUUCAGCGACCCGUCUUGAAACACGGACCAAGGAGUCUAACAUCUAUGCGAGUGUUUGGGCUUCAAACCCUUACGCGUAAUGAAAGUGAACGGAGGUGGGAACCCCGAGAGGGGCGCACCAUCGACCGAUCCUGAUGUCUUCGGAUGGAUUUGAGUAGGAGCAUAGCUGUUGGGACCCGAAAGAUGGUGAACUAUGCCUGAAUAGGGUGAAGCCAGAGGAAACUCUGGUGGAGGCUCGCAGCGGUUCUGACGUGCAAAUCGAUCGUCAAAUUUGGGUAUAGGGGCGAAAGACUAAUCGAACCAUCUAGUAGCUGGUUCCUGCCGAGUCCCC
RNAcentral lists this ribosomal RNA (916 nucleotides) under Choiromyces meandriformis. RNAcentral describes it as "eukaryotic LSU rRNA". It matches the Rfam family "Eukaryotic large subunit ribosomal RNA", at positions 56 to 972 of the family's 3401-position model. The record is from RNAcentral. Lineage: Eukaryota; Fungi; Ascomycota; Pezizomycetes; Pezizales; Tuberaceae.